This is a long non-coding RNA of Parus major (Great Tit), 1365 nucleotides long. RefSeq lists it as uncharacterized. The transcript is spliced from 3 exons. NCBI's taxonomy places the organism in Eukaryota, Metazoa, Chordata, Aves, Passeriformes, Paridae. The record is from RefSeq and is a predicted model, not a curated record.
GCACUGAGCACUGCUGUGUUCCUCGAGGAAAAGAAGCCACUGAGGCACAUUUUCUUAUUGCACUUGGGGAUUUAUGAUGGAUGUGCACUUUUGAAAGCUUUGUCAGGAAAGCACUGGAGCCUCUGGCCAAAGCUUAUUAUUGAAGAAAGCAAAGUGAAUCCUGCAAAGUUUGUGAAGUGGAAUUCCACCAGCAGCGAGUGAAAACAAACCAAGCAAACAAACAAAAAAUAGUUUUCAGAAGAAGGCACUGCUUUUCCAGGCUUCAGAUGUUUACUCUUACUAAAGAAAGGGACGUGGGAGCUCUCCAACAAUUCAGAGCAUAUCUAUGCAAUUCCACAUUUUCCUGUGACUGUACUUUGAAGACAUGUGGACAAGUCAGUUGGAUUCCAUAAGCUACAAACCUACAUUACCAAUACAAAGGAUCUCAAUGAUAACCACACCUCCUAUUUCAGGAUUGACACUGCACUAGGACUGCUUCUGGACCACAGGUGGAAUAUCAAGUGUGUGCUAAUCAUACGACUAUACAGUCUCUGAACUGGAGCUCCUCACAUCUAGCCAGCCUCCAGCACAGACAAGAGUAGGAAGCCUUGCAUGUUUUUCUAACUGGAUGCCACAUUUAACAGCCCAGCACCAUUUUGCAACUGACAUUAUGGUGUUGUAUAACUUCUGACAGAACAGACUUAUUUGUGCAGAAAUGUGACUCAAAUUAAUGGUAGAGGUAAUUAAUUUUUCCACAGGACAUUCAGGUGUUUCCCUAUUCCGCUCCCCAUCCAACAACGUUCAUCUGAAAUUCCAACAUGUAGCUCUGCUCCCCUUCUCACAAAUGGACACCCAUGUGAUUUUCACACAUAUAGCCAAGCCUGAGUGUUUUCAUUCCCUUGAUCUGUUGCUGAUUUAUCUAGUAACGUUAAAAUAUAGCUUAUUAAUCUUUCUGUGACAGCAGUUUUCCGUUUUCUACGAACCAUCAUUUUCAAAAUAUUCAGGUGACACCAAGUGGUUAGUUGUUGUAUUGCUGUCUGCUCAGGACUGGUGUGUAGCACUACUAUAAAGAUUUGUGUAAAAACCAAGUAUUCUGUAAUGUGUGAAAGUAAAUACAAAAAUAGACAUUAAAAAAAAAGAAGCCAGAAUGCCUUGAGAUUAUUAAUCAAAGCAGCCCUUUCUCAUUUACUUACCUAAGAGGAGAUAUAUCCUUUAAAAAGAAAAAAAAAACCAACACAAAACAGCAAAACCCAAACUGUACACAUCAUCAAAAAUUAAAUGGCCAAAAAAUGAGGUUCCUGUAAGAAAGUCACUUACCAGAAGGAAUGAGUCCCUAUGCCAUCUUUGUAUACUCAUGUUUAUAAGAAACUGCUUCCAAUAAGCACA